CAACUCAAAGUGGAACAAGGACCUAGGCAUUAUACCAGUGACCGUGUAUCUACUAGAAGAAAAUAUAGACCCAACUCUCCAUCAUGUAAGCUCAGGAAUGGACUUCUUUACUAAGAUUCUUAAAGCAUAAGAAGUAAAAUCAAGAAUCAAUAAAAUCAAGAAUCAAUAAAUCAAUAAACUAAGAAGCUUCUUCACAGCAAAGGAAACAAUCAAGAACAAGAACAGAGAACCUACAAAUUGGGAGAAAAAUCUUUAUCACCUGCACCUCAGAAGAAGAAAUGCAAUCGAUCAACAAAUAUAUAAAAAAAUGUUCAACAUCUAUAGCAAUUAGAGAAAUGCAAAUCACAACUACUAGAAGAUUUCAUCUCACUCCAGUCAGAAUGGCAAUUAUCAAGAAUACAAGUAACAGUAAAUGUUGGUGAGGAUGUGGGAGGAAAGGUACACUCAUACAUUGCUGGUGGGACUGCAAAGUUACACUCUGGAAAGCAGUAUGGAGAUUCCUUAGCAAACUUGGAAUGAAGCCACCAUUUGACUCAUUUAUCCCACUCCUUAGUUUAUACCAAAAGACUUAAAAUCAGCAUACUACUGUGAUGCAGGCACAUCAGUGUUUAUAUGUGGUGAGCCGCUUCUGCCGUUUCUGCAGAUUAUGGUCGCCAUUACAAGAUGACGCUGGCUCCGCUGUGGUCUGUGACAAACAACUUCUUAUCUGGGAAAGUUGGCACAUGAUUUUUCAUCACCCUGUGAGAAAGCUCCACGCGGCAGCUUUGCAUUGGGGCUUGGGAUGCUUUAUUAAGGCUGGGAGGGGCAUCCGAGAGAGAGAAGAAGAAAUAUCAAGGGCCUGAAUAAACUGCUGAAAGAAGAUUCCUGAGUUGCGUCUUCCUUGCGGGCAAGGGGUCGCGACAAGUGGUGCCGAAACCCGGGAACCAGAACUUUCAACAGUCAGGGGUGGUGCACCGGUUAGUCCCAGAUUUUAUGAUUCCAGAAAUGCCUCCCACAUCAUCGGGGAGUAUCCAUCCGGAACCUGGUCCAUGGAAGCAGAAAACAUGAUCCAGUCUCAACUAACCCAGAUAGCUGUCUUGAACAGUACCCGUGUCGAACCAGUGACUUUGGGUCAAUUCACCGAUUGGAUAUCUUCUGCUUUUUCCUUCUUCAAAGAGUGGGUGGGAGUAGGCAUUUUUGGUGCAAUGUGUUGCUUCAGUGUUGUGCUCUGUUUGUGGCUUCUCUGUCGCCUUAAAACUCGCCAUGCACAAGAAAAGGCUAUGAUCAUACAAGCUCUUGAAGCUUUAGAAAAUGGCAACUCACCUCAAUUCUGGCUUGCGCAUCUUAAGCAGUAAACCUUUGUCAUGGUCGUUACACCCCAAGUUAUUAUAACAUUGCACUGGGAUCGACAUGACUUUCCUUGUUAUUCUCUUAGUGUUGGAAAGCCCUUGCACUCUGCCGGUCUUACUGCCAUUGCACGCAGAUGGGUUUCCACACUAGUGCUUUUCUAUCGUCUUAAAGUCCGUGCCUUUCUUUCAGGGUGCUGUCAACUUGUUUGUCGUUAUAAACAGCCACAGUUCAGCCUCAGCUAUCCCCCUUCGUCCACCAUCGUCACGAUACAGGAUGCGAGGCAAGGCACUGCACUUGAGUGAUCCUUGACGUGGACCUCAAGGAGAGCAUGUCCUAUUGCAUGCGGGUUAGACGCGUCCACGCCCCGCCCCACGAAAAAAGGCGUCGGCUGAUAUGGCCUCAGAUCUGGGGAAGGGCCCUCCUUGGGACUGAGCCAUACUAUGCAGCCACUUCUGCACAGUGGGAUAGGACCUCUACUCUCGCCUGUAUUGUUUUAAUAAAACAAAAAAGGGGGAACUGUGGUGAGCCGCUUCUGCCGUUUCUGCAGAUUAUGGUCGCCAUUACAAGAUGACGCUGGCUCCGCUGUGGUCUGUGACAAACAACUUCUUAUCUGGGAAAGUUGGCACAUGAUUUUUCAUCACCCUGUGAGAAAGCUCCACGCGGCAGCUUUGCAUUGGGGCUUGGGAUGCUUUAUUAAGGCUGGGAGGGGCAUCCGAGAGAGAGAAGAAGAAAUAUCAAGGGCCUGAAUAAACUGCUGAAAGAAGA
This is a long non-coding RNA of Marmota monax (woodchuck), 2094 nucleotides long. RefSeq lists it as uncharacterized. NCBI's taxonomy places the organism in Eukaryota, Metazoa, Chordata, Mammalia, Rodentia, Sciuridae. The record is from RefSeq and is a predicted model, not a curated record. The transcript has 2 exons.